Molecule: RNA transcript, 3777 nt
Organism: Mirounga angustirostris (Northern elephant seal)
Lineage: Eukaryota; Metazoa; Chordata; Mammalia; Carnivora; Phocidae
Gene: GPRASP3
Gene name: G protein-coupled receptor associated sorting protein family member 3
Exons: 8
Source: RefSeq, a predicted model, not a curated record
UUGUGGUGGGUGGGUGGGGGUCUCUCCAUGCUGCACUAACCUGGAAACGAAUUUCUUGGGCGAUCAGAAUUACAGCAUUUGUUGGUAGAGGGCACAGCCCCUCGGCCUGUUGCCAGCGUCUUAGCCGGGGUCAGUCUUUUGCCCAGGAGCUCAAGAGGCAGGAAGUCAUCCUGCGGGAGGAGGACGUGAGAGAAGCAGCGGUUGCUGUUGGAGGAGAGCUCCCUCCACCUAGAAUUCCUGUUGGGAGUACUGUAUUUAUAUUUGGGGAACUUCACAUUGUGGCCUGGCUGGAUACCUCUAAGUCCCACGUGCAACCUGAAGCAGAUACUUAGCCAAUUAACACCUGUGGAUUUUUUCAAUCUCAGCCAAAGGGCAGGAUUGGAAGUCCUGAGGCAGAGCAGCCGUGAUGGUUGUUUGAUUCAGGACGUGACUCUUCUCCAGCUAAAAACUGUUCUUUGGUGGGAAGGAUAGAAGUUCCUGAGGACCCCUGCUGUGUAGGCUGGCUGGCAUCGGUGGCAAUGAGGUUCCUAUAGAAAUCUGUAGAUAGUUGUUCACUUUGAAUUAAGCAAGAGGACGAAAACUAUUCAUUUGGAUCCAAGGUCUGCCUGUAUAUUGGCCGUAGGCCUUAUCAUUCCUGAAAGUAAGGAAGGGGAAGAAAAUUGCACUAGGUAGAAGGAGACAAGCUGGUGGAAGAGUAAGGGACCUCGUUUCAUCUGGUCUCUUGAAUUUAAUCGGAUAUCUAUCAAAUCAUUCUGAAUACCUAUGAAUUCAACCUGAGAUGUAAGAGAAUUGCUGGAAUUCUACAAAUAGAAAAGCGACUACUUUUUGCAAGGGCCCUGCAAAAGGCAGAAACACAGAGAUCCUCCUCCUUCCCCUGAGAGGGGCAUCACAGGUGCAGCAUGCAGGAUGGAGUGACUGCUCUCCCUGUGGGGACCCUUCAAAUGGUAUGCCCGUGGUGACCAUCCUCCCUCACACAGGAGGAUCUGCGCUGGUGUGCACCGCAAGAGACUCAGAGUUGGUGCAAACAAAAGUGAAGACUGCUUUUCCCUGAGGGUUUACUGAAAAGAGGGGACCACAAUAGUUCAGCUCCAGGACUGGAGAUAGGGUGCCACCAUUUUUAUUUUCACACUCAAAAGCAGCUUGGAAAGCCUUCAGGGAACAAAAGCCACAUAGAGCAACCCAAAGCAGCUUAUACUGAGCCCAGCCACCUGGCAAAGGGCAGUGCAACUCCACCCAGGAAAAGACACCUGAGAUUCAGGGCAGCAGACCCUUCCCCCAGAAAAUCAGCUGGAACAUCAGGAGAAUACCAAGAUUACCAAGCACACAGAACUGUAAAACUCCAGCACUAGGGGAAAAUACUAUAUAGAAUUCAAGGUUUUUUCUCAUGAUCCUUUUAUCUUUCAGUUUAAAAUUUUUUUGUUUUUUCAUUUUUUCCUUUUCAACUAGUUAUUUUAUCAAUUCCUUGUUUUUAAGUUUUUUUAACUUUCAUUUUUUAUUUACAUUAUAUAUAUAUAUAUUCUUCAUUUAUGGCUUCCUUUCAAUGUAUUCAAUUUUAUUUUGUAUAUAUGUAAGUUUUGCUUUCUUUACAAUUUUGGGAUUUAGUGUCUUCUAACAAACAGACCAAAAUACACCCAGGACCCAGUGGAUCACCCUGUUUUGCCCACCUGGAAGAUUAUAUUCUCUACUUUUCCCCCUUUUUCUUUUUCUUUCUUUUUUGGUUUCUAACUUCUUCGGAUUUGUCUGGUGUAUAUUUCACUUGGGUCGUGGUUGAUAUUUUUGAUUUUGUUUGCUCGUUCAUCCAUUCUUUGGGCAAAAUGACUAGAAAGAGGAAUAUACAACAAAGGAAAAAAAACAGAGGUAAUACUCUGCCACAGAUCUAAUCAAUAUGGAUAUAACUAAAAUGUCAGAGCUGGAAUUCAGGAUAACAAUUAUAAAGUUACUAGCUGGGCUUGAAAAAAGCAUAAAAGACAUUAGAGAAUCUCUUAGUGAAGAAAUAAAAUCGAAUGAGGCCAAAAUUAAAAAUGCUUUAACUGAGACACAGUCCAAAUUGGAUGCUCUAACAGCUAGAGUAAAUGAGGCAAAAGAGUCAGUGACAUAGAAGAUAAGAUAAUGGAAAGGAAGGAAGCUGAGGAAAAGAGAGAAAAAUAACUAAUGGACAUGAGAGAAGGCUUCAAGAAAUCAGUGUUAUCAUAAAGCUAAACAAUAUUAGAAUCAUUGAGGUACCAGAGGAAGAAGAAAGAGAGAGAGGGAAAGAAUGUAUAUUUGAGCAAAUCAUAGCUGAGAACUUCCCUAAUCUGGGGAGGGAAAUAGGCAUUCAAAUCCAGGAAGUAGAGAGAACCCCCCUCAAAAUCAAUAAAAAUAGAUCUAUGCCCUGACAUAUAACAGUGAAACUUGUAAAUUUCAGAGAUAAAGAGAAAAUCCUGAAAGCAGCUUGAGAGAAGAACUCCUUAGCAACAGGGGUAGGAACACUAGACUGUCAGCAGACCUAAUCAGAGACGUGGCAGGCCAGAAAGGGUCGGCAUGAUAUAUUCAGGGUAGUAAAUGAGAAAAACAUGCAGCCAAGAAUACUUUAUCCAGCAAGGCUGUCAUUCAGAAUGGAAGACGAGAUAAAGAGCUUCCAGGACAAACAGAAACUAAAAGAAUUUGUGAUCACUAAACCAGCCCUGUAAAAAAUAUUUAAGGGGAUCCUGUAAGCAAAGAGAGAUCCCAAAAGAAACAUAGAUCAGAAAGAAAUAGAAAAGAUCUACAGAAACAGGGACUUUACAGGUAAUAGAAUGGCAUCAAAUUCAUAUCUUUCAAUAGUUACUCUGAAUGCAAAUGGGAUAAAUGCUCCAAUCAAAAGACACAGGGUAUCAGAUUGGAUAAAAAAAGCAAGACCCAUCCAUAUGCUGUCUACAAGAGACUCAUUUUAGACAUAAAGACACCACCAGAUUGAAAGUGAGGGCAUGGAGAACCAUUUAUCAUGGUAAUGGACAUAAAAGAAAGCUGAGGUAACAAUCCUCAUAUCAGACAAAUUAGAUUUUAAACCAAAGACUGUAGUAAGGGAUGAAGAGGAACACUAUGUCAUACUUAAAGGGUCUAUCCAAAAAGAAAAUCUAACAAUUAUAAAUAUUUAUGUUCCUAAAUUGGGAGCAGCUAAUUAUAUCAACCAAUUAAUAACAAAAUUAAAGAAAUAUGUUGAUAGGGGCGCCUGGGUGGCUCAGUCAUUAAGCGUCUGCCUUUGGCUCAGGUCAAGAUCCCAGCGUCCUGGGAUCGAGCCCCGCAUGGGGCUCCCUGCUCCACGGGAAGCCUGCUUCUCCCUCUCCCACUCCCCCUUCUUGUGUUCCCUCUCUCACUGUGUCUCUGUCAAAUAAAUAAAUAAAAUCUUCAAAAAAAAUUAAAAAAAAAAGAAAUACAUUGAUAAUAAUACAAUAAUACUAGGGGACUUCAACAUCCCACCCACAGCAAUGGAAAGAUCAUCUAAACAGAAGAUCAACAAGGAAACGAGGGCUUUGAAUGACACACUGGAUAAGAUGGACUUCACAGAUAUAUACAGAGCAUUCCAUCCUAAAGCAACAGAAUACACAUUCUUCUCAAGUGCACUUAGAACAUGCUCCAGAAUAGAUCACAUACUGGGUCAGAAAUCAGAUCUCAAGUGGUACUAAAAGAUUGGGAUUAUUCCCGGUAUAUUCUCAGACCACAAUGCUUUGAAACUUGAACUCAAUCACAAGAGGAAAUUUGGAAGGAACGCAAACACUUGGAGGUUAAAGAGCAUCUUACUAAAGAAUGAAUGGGUCA